This is a long non-coding RNA of Leopardus geoffroyi (Geoffroy's cat), 968 nucleotides long. RefSeq lists it as uncharacterized. The record is from RefSeq and is a predicted model, not a curated record. The transcript is spliced from 4 exons. NCBI's taxonomy places the organism in Eukaryota, Metazoa, Chordata, Mammalia, Carnivora, Felidae.
UCAGGCUUGGGUAACUGGGUGCUCUUUCCAUUGCCUCGCAGAGCGCCUGCACACGCUAAGGCUGAGCACACACCAUUUGGACCUUUGCCUACAGGCUAAGCAGCCCACCCGGUUCAAUGGAAGGACAGACCCAAACUGUCCUGUCUGUGACGUUCCCUGCCCCUUCUAGUGAUGUCUGACACCUUCACUGGAGAUCCGGAGACAGAAGCCCCACUGCUCUGAAGGCCAGAAUGGAUUGUUGCUGAUGCCUGCUGGUUGGGGGUGAGACCUCUCCGGUGCCUCAGCACCCUGUAAGACCUCAGGACCUUUGCUUCACCUUGGUGGAGGAACCCUAAGAAAGGCUGAAGUUGAGUGUCUUGCUAAUCCAGCAAGAUGGGCAUUCAGAGUAGAAGAUCUGUUCGGAGGACUCCUGACUAAGAGCCAGCUCCUGAAACCGAAAGCCUUGUGAUUUGGAGUUGGACACAUCUGGUUGUGGUUUGCCCAGGUCAGCAGGCCUGCGCUAGUGAGCUGGUUAGAACUUCCCCUCUCGGGGCCGUGUGUUGACUGCUGCAAGCCUGCGGGACGCCAGACACCAUGCGUGGUCCCCCACAUGAAAGGACCCUGUCUGCCGGGCCUCCAGGGAGUCAUCCUCAGAGGAAGCUGGGUUCCUGGAAAGCUCUAUGUGGAGCUGUGACCCCAGCCCCACGGAGCCACGCUGACCCUGGCAGGUGAUGCCCUCAGCUUCCAUCACAGGUGGCCACGGCAAGCAGCCACAGGGAAUGGGGUUAUCUGCUAGACUUCCUACCUGCUGCGGGAGGGAGGUUGUGUUUCUAGCAGAGUGCCUAGAGAUGUGAGCUUCACAGAAGAUUGUGACAUGCUUCGGGCUUUCUCGUAUUGAGAUCCGUGCAACAGGCCAUGCCUCUCUUUUCCCUUUGACUACCAGAAAGCUCAGAACCAAAUAAGUGGUUCAGUUAUAACAACUGACUUCA